AGCGAGGGAAAUUUAGUACCGAAGUUCUUGAUUCUACACUGCCAAGAAAAGCUUCUAGCGAGAUAAAAGGUGCCCGUACCGCAAACCGACACAGGUAGGCGAGGAGAGAAUCCUAAGGUGUGCGAGAGAACUCUCGUUAAGGAACUCGGCAAAAUGACCCCGUAACUUCGGGAGAAGGGGUGCUCUGGUAGGGUGCAAGCCCGAGAGAGCCGCAGUGAAUAGGCCCAGGCGACUGUUUAGCAAAAACACAGGUCUCUGCGAAGCCGCAAGGCGAAGUAUAGGGGCUGACGCCUGCCCGGUGCUGGAAGGUUAAGAGGAGAGGUUAGCGCAAGCGAAGCUUUGAAUCGAAGCCCCAGUAAACGGCGGCCGUAACUAUAACGGUCCUAAGGUAGCGAAAUUCCUUGUCGGGUAAGUUCCGACCCGCACGAAAGGCGUAACGAUCUGGGCACUGUCUCAACGAGAGACUCGGUGAAAUUAUAGUACCUGUGAAGAUGCAGGUUACCCGCGACAGGACGGAAAGACCCCGUGGAGCUUUACUGCAGCCUGAUAUUGAAUUUUGGUACAGCUUGUACAGGAUAGGUAGGAGCCUUUGAAGCCGGAGCGCCAGCUUCGGUGGAGGCGUCGGUGGGAUACUACCCUGGUUGUAUUGAAAUUCUAACCCGCACCCCUCAAUCGGGGUGGGAGACAGUGUCAGGCGGGCAGUUUGACUGGGGCGGUCGCCUCCUAAAAUGUAACGGAGGCGCCCAAAGGUUCCCUCAGAAUGGUUGGAAAUCAUUCGUAGAGUGCAAAGGCAUAAGGGAGCUUGACUGCGAGACCUACAAGUCGAGCAGGGACGAAAGUCGGGCUUAGUGAUCCGGUGGUUCCGCAUGGAAGGGCCAUCGCUCAACGGAUAAAAGCUACCCCGGGGAUAACAGGCUUAUCUCCCCCAAGAGUCCACAUCGACGGGGAGGUUUGGCACCUCGAUGUCGGCUCAUCGCAUCCUGGGGCUGUAGUCGGUCCCAAGGGUUGGGCUGUUCGCCCAUUAAAGCGGUACGCGAGCUGGGUUCAGAACGUCGUGAGACAGUUCGGUCCCUAUCCGUCGCGGGCGUAGGAAAUUUGAGAGGAGCUGUCCUUAGUACGAGAGGACCGGGAUGGACGCACCUCUGGUGUACCAGUUGUCUUGCCAAAGGCAUCGCUGGGUAGCUAUGUGCGGACGGGAUAAGUGCUGAAAGCAUCUAAGCAUGAAGCCCCCCUCAAGAUGAGAUUUCCCAUAGCGUCAAGCUAGUAAGACCCCUGAGAGAUGAUCAGGUUGAUAGGUUCGAGAUGGAAGUGUGGCGACACAUGGAGUUGACGAAUACUAAUCGGUCGAGGACUUAACCUA
Molecule: ribosomal RNA, 1360 nt
Filed under: Bacillus testis
Lineage: Bacteria; Bacillati; Bacillota; Bacilli; Caryophanales; Bacillaceae
Description: bacterial LSU rRNA
Rfam family: Bacterial large subunit ribosomal RNA
Source: RNAcentral